CUCGAACUCCUGACCUCAAGUGAUCUACCCGCCUUGGCCUAACAAAGUGCUGGGGUUACAGACAUGAGCCACCGCGCCUGGCCUCAUGUCACUUUUAACUAAAAGAAAAAAAAAAAAAGAAGUAGAAGGUAUCAAAAUAAAGCAUUUCCAUUUUGCUGCGUUUGCUUCUGGAGAAGUUUAUUGAUGUCUUAGGUUGUGUCCUUUGAUGCUCUUUGUCUUCAUUCCUUAGCUUGCUUAAGGCCUGUAGCCCUGCCAUCUGCAUAGGAGGUGGCUCUCUCUUGUUCUCAGUCCCCAAGCGGGUUUACAAGGCAUCUGGAGGAACACCAGGAAGGGAAUGAGGAAAGAGUGGUCAUGGUGUCUGGAGUCCUGGGCAUGUUCCAAGGCCAGGCUGCUAGGCCUGUGUCUGGGCUUCUUUUUGGCCCUCAUGAGGAUGAGCUGGAUGGGUGGUUAUGGUGCAGCCUGCAGGAGGGGGCUCCAAGCUGCCUCUGGUGUUUUCUGUCCUCUCAGGCUAACCCUGGUGAAGUGAUGGGGACAGCCUGGCUGUGAGACCCCCUUUUCCUUCCCUGUCCUUUGGUGAGAGGACAUUGGUGAUCUUCACCAAGGCAGGCCUGCCGGAUGCCCAUUCAUUUGGGUCCUCAUGGUGGGGCAUAUCAGGAUGCUACAUCUCAGUGCAAUCUGCAGAUGCCUUUCCAGGAUGACAUCUCUCCAGCUCUUUCCCUCCACCUUGCUUUCCUGGUGGAACGCUGUCCCUACACAGCUGUGCUCCAUCUGGCCCAGGUUCCCACAUGAUGAGCAGGGGUUCUCCCUAGAGCUUGGCAGAUGGAAAGUGCUUGAGUGGGUGCUGAGUGCCUAGGGAACGGUCUGUUUCAUGUCGUUUCAGCUGUGUUGGGAGUGGAAGAGGAGGACGUGCCUGACAUCGACAUACACCACUGCCCAAACUAUGAGAAAACCCAUGUGAAGUCCACCUGAUGCCCAGCUUCGUGGAGCCACCUGACAUCAUGAAGAAACUGCCCUGGGUAGAAAACUACUGGCUAGAGGAUAUAUUGCUGGCCAAGCCCAAAGUGACCCAGUACUGCCUGAUCUGCAUGAAGGAAAGCUACACCAACUUCCACAUCGACUUGGGGCACCUCCGCCUGGUACCACGUGUUCAAGGUCGACAAAUGCUACAAGUGCAUCAUCAAGCAGGGCCAGAGCCUCUUCAUUCCCUCAGGCACUGACAGAACUCUCAUGGGCCCCAAGGUGUGCAGCCACCCAGGGGCAAUUGUCGCCUGGUCCACCUCAGCUAUACAGGGCCCUGUGGGGAAGCCUGAACUGGCGUGCCUGGGACCUGGAUCCACCCCCAGCAUUACCUGCUUGAUGGUCAGUGCACUGAAAGCGGCUAUUUGGUGGCUUCCAGAGCAUAUGAAGUGUAAAGGAUG
RNAcentral lists this long non-coding RNA (1418 nucleotides) under Cercocebus atys (sooty mangabey). RNAcentral describes it as "lncRNA (ENSCATG00000045434.1)". The record is from RNAcentral. Lineage: Eukaryota; Metazoa; Chordata; Mammalia; Primates; Cercopithecidae.